This 271-nucleotide long non-coding RNA is filed under the name Ananas comosus (pineapple). Its description in RNAcentral is "long non-coding RNA (ACOM_LNC001703)". Lineage: Eukaryota; Viridiplantae; Streptophyta; Magnoliopsida; Poales; Bromeliaceae. The record is from RNAcentral.
GGACCCUGUUCUGGGCGCCCUAAAGUGGAUCCGAAUCUUUUGAGACCUUUUGGAUCCUGCCUGUUUGCUGUUCGGGUGAUCCAGAAACACCAAGACUAUUUGACUUGACAGGUUGCGACAACAGGCGGCGCGAAAUCUGGGCGCCCAGAUUUUACGGAAGCAGCGGCGCACGCAAUCUGGGCUGUCUGGCAAGAAAGUCAGCACGAGAUCUGGGCGCCCACAACUUUUGAUGGCUCGAAUCCAGAAAAACGGCGCAUGUCAGAAAAGUUGU